UGGAUUUUAUGUAAGUGAACAGUAUUUACACAAACAACACUCUGAGGAUGUUAUAGAAGUUGUCAUCAUUAUAAUUAGUGCUACACUGGUGAUAGUAAAGUCAACUUAAAAAAAAUAAAAAGUUAAAAUAAAAUCCUCCUUUAGAGAAUAUAAUAUGAAUAUGCAAAUAUAUUCAGUAAGCCUGAUUGAAAUGACAUCUGGGUUUUUUUUAAAUGUAUAGAUUUUAUUGCAGCAUGUUGCUGAGCAUAUGAAAAAUGAAGUCUCAAAUUCUAUGUGUAUGUAUCUUAGCUCCUUAGUAAUAGCAUUUUAACUUACCACUUGAAAAACAACCUUAAUGUAAGUUUGGAACAGAAAUUGCAAAUAACACAUUUUGAAUUUGUUGUUCUUAAUACAGUUUUGGAUAUUUACUAUCUGAAUUUGGUUGUGAUUGUUUGAAACUGCCUUAUUUUAUAAAAGUCUGCAUUGUUUUCAGUUGCAUUUUUGAGUAACUUAAUCUGUGUUCUCCUUAGUGGAAUAAUCUAAACUUCCACAGAAUACCUUUGUGUUAAGCACUUGUGCCCCUCCUUCAGAUUGUAGACCUUCAUUUUGAGCUGAUAUGGAUUUCAUUGGAACAAAGCUUUUUCUCCACAAAAUUAAGCCAAACAUUUUAGAAACAAUUUGAACUUCUAAUUUGAGUUUUUCAGGCUUACUUUGUUGAUUUAAUGUUUUUUUCUGUUAUUAUCUUUCAAACUUAGUGCUCAAUAAAUGGCAGAUGAACCCCUAUGACAGAGGAUCAGCUUUUGCAAUUGGAUCGGAUGGUUUGUGUUGUCAAAGCA
Non-coding RNA from Cyanistes caeruleus (blue tit), 815 nucleotides. Lineage: Eukaryota; Metazoa; Chordata; Aves; Passeriformes; Paridae. The record is from RefSeq and is a predicted model, not a curated record.